GAUGAACGCUGGCGGCGUGCCUAAUACAUGCAAGUCGAGCGAAGCGGGGACGGGUGAGUAACCCGUGGAGAACCUCCUAUAAGACUGGGAUAACAUCGGGAAACCGGAGCUAAACCGGAUAUUUAUAGAUGGGACCGCGCUGCAUUUGCUAGUGGGUAAGGUAACGGCAUACCAAGGCAACGAGGCAUAGCCGAACGGGGAGUGUGACCGGCCACACUUGACCUGAGUCACGGUCCAGACUCCUACGGGAGGCAGCAUGAGGGAAUCUUCCGCAAUGGGCGAGAGGCUGACGGCGCAAUGCCGCGUGAGGGAUGAAGGUCUUCGGAUCGUAAAACUCUGUUAUGAGGGACGCGGUACCUAAUCAGAAAGCCACGGCUUACUUCGUGCCAGCCGCCGCGGUAAUUC
This 405-nucleotide ribosomal RNA is filed under the name uncultured bacterium. RNAcentral describes it as "partial 16S ribosomal RNA". It matches the Rfam family "Bacterial small subunit ribosomal RNA", at positions 28 to 526 of the family's 1533-position model. The record is from RNAcentral.